GACGAACGCUGGCGGCGUGCUUAACACAUGCAAGUCGAACGGUAGGGCCCUUCGGGGUACACGAGUGGCGAACGGGUGAGUAACACGUGGGUGAUCUGCCCUGCACUUCGGGAUAAGCCCGGGAAACUGGGUCUAAUACCGGAUAGGACCACUGCCUGCAUGGGUGGUGGUGGAAAGCUUUUGCGGUGUGGGAUGGGCCCGCGGCCUAUCAGCUUGUUGGUGGGGUGAUGGCCUACCAAGGCGACGACGGGUAGCCGGCCUGAGAGGGUGACCGGCCACACUGGGACUGAGAUACGGCCCAGACUCCUACGGGAGGCAGCGGUGGGGAAUAUUGCACAAUGGGCGCAAGCCUGAUGCAGCGACGCCGCGUGAGGGAUGACGGCCUUCGGGUUGUAAACCUCUUUCAGCACCGACGAAGCGCAAGUGACGGUAGGUGCAGAAGAAGGACCGGCCAACUACAUGCCAGCAGCCGCCGUAA
Molecule: ribosomal RNA, 478 nt
Filed under: uncultured bacterium
Lineage: Bacteria
Description: partial 16S ribosomal RNA
Rfam family: Bacterial small subunit ribosomal RNA
Source: RNAcentral